ACGGAAGGCAGCAGUGGGGAAUAUUGGGCAAUGGGCGAAAGCCUGACCCAGCAACGCCGCGUGAGGGAAGACGGUUUUCGGAUUGUAAACCUCUGUCUUUGGUGACGAAGAAGUGACGGUAGCCAAGGAGGAAGCCACGGCUAACUACGUGCCAGCAGCCGCGGUAAUACGUAGGUGGCAAGCGUUAUCCGGAAUUACUGGGUGUAAAGGGAGCGCAGGCGGGAUAGCAAGUCAGCGGUGAAAAUUAUGGGCUUAACCCAUAAACUGCCGUUGAAACUGUUAUUCUUGAGUGGAGUAGAGGCAGGCGGAAUUCCGAGUGUAGCGGUGAAAUGCGUAGAUAUUCGGAGGAACACCAGUGGCGAAGGCGGCCUGCUGGGCUCUAACUGACGCUGAGGCUCGAAAGUGUGGGGAGCAAACAGGAUUAGAUACCCUGGUA
Molecule: ribosomal RNA, 436 nt
Filed under: uncultured Clostridiales Family IV bacterium
Lineage: Bacteria; Bacillati; Bacillota; Clostridia; Eubacteriales; Eubacteriales Family IV. Incertae Sedis
Description: bacterial SSU rRNA
Rfam family: Bacterial small subunit ribosomal RNA
Source: RNAcentral